Non-coding RNA from Paramuricea clavata, 870 nucleotides. The record is from the annotation of a GenBank genome assembly. NCBI's taxonomy places the organism in Eukaryota, Metazoa, Cnidaria, Anthozoa, Malacalcyonacea, Plexauridae.
GUAGACUUUAGAAAUAUCAGGCCGCCAAACACUGACACUUUUACUACAGAUUAAGCAUUAUUUUACAAAUAAAGCAAAUUAGCUCGAAAUUUGCGGCUCUCUUGAGACAAGGUGUUGCGCCAAGUAAAUCCUGCAGACUGGCCACUUAAUAAAGGUAAAAAUUGACAUAAAACAUCUUUUGGGACAGCUCUUUGGGUGGCCGCGGCCACUUAAUAGAGGUGGUCGUUUAAUAGAGGGAUAGUUUAUAGUAUUUGUAUUACAAAAAUUUCGGGACUUCGAUAUGUGGCCGUUUAAUAGAGGGUGGUCGCUCAUGCAAUGGAGGGCCGCUUAAUACCGUUCAUAAGUUACUGUACCUUGUUCUAUUCUAUGCUUCCAAAACUACAAAAAUAGUAACUAGGCAUGUCAGUUAUCUGAACGCUUAGUUGCUUUUGUUCUAUUCCAUGCUUUCCUAAACUAUAACAAUACUAACUAGUCAUGUGAAAUCAUGUGAACUUUUUGUUUUGCAAGCGCACGAAGGCGUUUCACCUGCGCACACGGAAAGUUUUGGCCUGUCCCAUUCAUGUUUGCUCUAGACAAAUCAUAUGACGUUGAUGAGAUAAAUACUCAUAUGGCGUUGUUUAUCUUCAGAUGGAAAUCUCACAGCAGUGAAAUAGGGGGUAAAGAGGGGAAUUAUUUUUGUGGAAAUGAAAAUGGGGGGGGGAGGGUUGAAAUAGAGAAUGGUAUCAACAUAUUUCUAUAUUCUCCGCUCGCUCAUCUCAAUAUUGUUUUGUAUGUCGUGGUUGAGUGCCGAAAGCUAAUUUGGUUUUCUUCAGCAUAUUGCACUGGGAAAUCGGUUAUACUUUAUUAAUUUCCCCAAUGUAUACAGUACUU